This is a long non-coding RNA of Pezoporus occidentalis (night parrot), 3028 nucleotides long. RefSeq lists it as uncharacterized. The transcript is spliced from 2 exons. NCBI's taxonomy places the organism in Eukaryota, Metazoa, Chordata, Aves, Psittaciformes, Psittacidae. The record is from RefSeq and is a predicted model, not a curated record.
UUGUUGUUCUCAUACAGCUGAAUACAGUUGUUUGCAUAUUGCACAGCGCUGGGGCUUUUCCUCUUCCUCUUAACUCUGUUUGGGCUCCAUUGUACAUGUGCCUGUGAGGGAAGUCGUGUUCUCAGUCAGCACCCAAAUUGGUGUAACUUCCCCUGGGCAGUGGCUCCCAGAACUGCUGGGGAAGGGGAAGGGCUGAGGCUGCUCUGUGGGGACCUCAGAACUUCCCCUGCAUUUGUUCUCCUCCCCUGGUUCCUCACACUGCUGCUGUCAUGGGACAUGUACCAGCUGGGGUGUCUGCCACAGGGGAUGUUCAUGUCCACUUGAGAGGAGCCAUGGGCUUCCUGUGAAAUCCCCCGAUGAAGUAACAACUCUCACGCCAUCCAAACUACUAUGCAUGUACCCGGCAUGGCCCAGCCUCUCGUCAGCCCCGCCGCAGGAGGUGACCAUAGGCAGCCCCACUGGCCCUGCCUGCGCAUGGGAAGUGGUUACCCCUCACUCCCCUCUGCUGGGAGCUGUGCCACUGGCUGCAGUAGGGAGGGGAGAGGAGGAAAGUGACCCGUUUCUGCCUGCAGCUGUGCCAGUGCAUCCCAAACCUUGGUUCAGCGCAGGUGAGACCCAGAAACUUGCCAAGUUGGUCCUUCUCUCCAAAGCUGCUCACCCUUUUCUGCAGGAUGGAGCCCAAACCCACAGGCAGGCUUCCUUGGGUUUUGUAAGGUUUGACCUACAAGGGACUGGUAGAGUCUGUAAGGCCGUUGUGGAUGUGUCCCUAAUGUACAGAUCAUCUUUCUCACAAUGCAUUGAAUAAUUUCUGAGCUGGAAGAGUGGAGAGAGCCUGUGCCUGGGAACCAGGCGAGCCACCCCCUCUCUGUGUGUACUGGUUUAUGUCCUGCACUGUUCUUAUGGGCUCUAGUCCUACUGUGAAUUCCACUGACAGCAGUAAAACACUGACAACUCCCCCAGGUGGACCUGAGCAGGAUCAGAGCUCUUGGGAGAUGAAAGCAAGUCCGAUGGUGCGAAAGAUGUAUUUUCUCUUAUCCCAAAGCCUCCUUUUGCCCUAGACACGAUUAUUGCAAGUGCAACAGGUCAAUGUAGGUUCCAGCCCUGUAAGAGGAUGCACCAGUUAAUGCAGCAAACUUCAGAAAUUCCCUUUCCUUUCUCUGAAGUCACUUUAAUCCCUUGAGUGUCCAGAGAUUAAAAGAUAUUUGAUGACCAUCCUAAACAUUCAUUGCACAUUUCCGGUAUCCAGCUGACCUCAAAUCCUGAAUGCAAUGAAUUUGCAUUUGCUUCUAAAAGUGUCUCAUUUUGUGAAUCAAACUGUCAUCACAUUUGAAAAUGAGACAUUUGUAUCUCUUGGAGUUUAAACUGCGGGAUCAAUUUCCCAUUAAUACUAAGGGUGUUUAAAGGACAAAUUCUCUGCCUACUGCAGUGAAAAUUUACCCCGAGGUAUGACAUUUCACCUGCCACCGAGUAUAAGAGGGCUGAAUAUAAUGGACUGGAAUAGCUAGAUUUGCACAUGCUGGUAACAAAAGCGGGUGAGCAGUGGAGGAUCCCAUUACAGAAAACCUUUCCUAUUUGUUUUCUCCUCCUCUUUUUUCAGCCUUCAAAACAUGCAUGCUCUUUGCAGUUUAUAGAACUGCACUAUUCAAUAGCCUGUGCCUGAAUUGUCGCAAUUUAAUCAUGUACCAUAUGAGUGGAUAAAGAUAGCCCUGAAGAGCUUCCACUCAGAAGGGCAUGAAGAAAUGGGAGCACUAGGGUACAUACCAAGCCUCAGAGCUGAGCAGCAGCCACACUGCCUGGCUCCAGCUUCACCAGUUCCUGUGCAGGACUGCAGAGCUACGAGUCCCAUCACAUGCUCUUCUGGUCACAGCUAUGCUGAUGGGCAGGGCUUUGCCACAGCUUGGCUCUGCUCCUCGGUGUGUCUCCAUCCUGUGUUAGAAGAGAGGAGGAGGACAGUUGGCAAGCCUCAACCCCCUCCUCCUCAAUGAAAUAUGGAGGCAACUGGAGUGAGCCAGCAGCAAGCUAAAGCACACAGAAUAGCUGCAGAUAAUGUGAACCCAGGGGCAUGGUGAACCUGAGCCUCUGCUGAGGCAUGUUUCCCUGAGGAAGUGCCAACAUAACCUCGGAAAACAUACCAUGGAAUUGCACCAUACUGUCCCUCCCUUGUGCUAUCAUGGAAACCAGAUGCCAGGAUGGAAAAGCACCAGGAGCUGAAUAUAAAAGCUUCAAGUGUCAGAGAGCCCUGCUCAGCCCUACCUUCUGCUGCAGGCCAUCUAUGCUUCCUGGCAUUCCCUGGUCUCUUGCCAAUUCCCAUCAACAGCUGUGGUUUGUGGUUGUAAUGCUCAGCAUUUGUCUUCUCUUUCUCCUAGCAGACCUGCAUCAAAGCUGGAUGUGCAGCAUGUAGCAGUUUGGGAGUCCCAGAAUUGGCCUCCAAGCACAAAACCAAAUCCUUCCUUACUGCUUUAUCUUCCCCAAAGUCUGAGAUGCUGCAAGAGUGAGUCUGUAACUCUUCCAGGCCCUCCUAAUGGACUGUGUGAGGAAAGGACAACAUAAGGUUGGUAAGAGACAACAGCAUCAUUGGGUGGAAAAGCUGUGCUUCAGGGGGAAGGUUUUCAAAUGUUCUGCAUUGAACAAAUUAAAGAUUUAUUGCAGAAUAAACCUGCAGCCAUUCCUUCUCCCUGACAGUCACUCUAUUGUAAUUUCAUCCCUUUGCAGCCUUUCCAAACCCAUCCAUUUCUUCUGAAACUUUUGUCCAAGCCCGCGUUUGACAUGAGGUCUUUUCCUGCACUAAGGUCUCCUGCUCUGCCGUAUUUCAUGGUAGCCAUUCAGCCUUCCAGUGGGGACACAUGCCCCCUCUUUGCCAUCUGGCCACAUUCAAGUCCUCAGAGUGCAGUCCCCUCUGUGCUAAACCCACGCUUGUCACACUCAUCUGCAAAGCUUCUCACAAGCUCAGGGCCAGAGCCUGUCAUCUGAACACACUGAGUUAUGCCUCAGGACAGAAGUGACCCCAUUAAAACCAUUUAGAAGCACA